RNAcentral lists this ribosomal RNA (265 nucleotides) under uncultured archaeon. RNAcentral's name for it is "partial 16S ribosomal RNA". It matches the Rfam family "Archaeal small subunit ribosomal RNA", at positions 718 to 982 of the family's 1478-position model. The record is from RNAcentral.
AGUCACUGACAUUAGAUACCCCCGUAGUCCCAGCCGUAAACAAUGUGCGUUAGGUGUGUCGGUAACCACGCGUUACUGAUGCGCCGAAGAGAAAUCGUGAAACGCACCACCUGGGAAGUACGGUCGCAAGGCUGAAACUUAAAGGAAUUAGCGGGGGAGCACCACAACGGGUGGAGCCUGCGGUUUAAUUGGACUCAACGCCGGGAAGCUCACCGGAUAGGACAGCGGAAUGAUAGCCGGGCUGAAGACCUUGCUUGACCAGCUG